This 222-nucleotide long non-coding RNA is filed under the name Lotus japonicus. Its description in RNAcentral is "long non-coding RNA (LJAP_LNC000540)". Lineage: Eukaryota; Viridiplantae; Streptophyta; Magnoliopsida; Fabales; Fabaceae. The record is from RNAcentral.
GAAUACGCACACCGUAGUCCCUCUGUUUCUCUCAUUCACGUCUUCUUUCCCUCAUCACUCUCUUUACUCUCAUUUUCAAUUGGUUUCUGCAGCAACUUAUAAUCCUUGUUCCUUUCAUCUUGUUCUCAUCACCAACCUCAUCUCGUUCAUUUGCUUUGUGGCAGCGCCCGCACACAACUGUGCCUUCUUCUUUCAUGAUCCAGCCACCACCUUGGUUCUCUC